GGACCUGACUGCUAUCGGAUUGAUACUAAGCCAUGCGAGUCAUUGUAGCAAUACAAGGCAUACGGCUCAGUAACGCGUAGUCAACCUAACCUAUGGACGGGAAUAACCUCGGGAAACUGAGAAUAAUGCCCGAUAGAACAUUAUGCCUGGAAUGGUUUAUGUUCCAAAUGAUUUAUCGCCGUAGGAUGGGACUGCGGCCUAUCAGUUUGUUGGUGAGGUAAUGGCCCACCAAGACUAUUACAGGUACGGGCUCUGAGAGGAGUAGCCCGGAGAUGGGUACUGAGACACGGACCCAGGCCCUAUGGGGCGCAGCAGGCGAGAAAACUUUGCAAUGUGCGAAAGCACGACAAGGUUAAUCCGAGUGGUUUCUGCUAAAGAAACCUUUUGUCAGUCCUAGAAACACUGAUGAAUAAGGGGUGGGCGAGUUCUGGUGUCAGCU
This 439-nucleotide ribosomal RNA is filed under the name uncultured archaeon. Its description in RNAcentral is "bacterial SSU rRNA". It matches the Rfam family "Archaeal small subunit ribosomal RNA", at positions 19 to 463 of the family's 1478-position model. The record is from RNAcentral.